Molecule: ribosomal RNA, 497 nt
Filed under: uncultured bacterium
Lineage: Bacteria
Description: partial 16S ribosomal RNA
Rfam family: Bacterial small subunit ribosomal RNA
Source: RNAcentral
UCUUCCCUCUGGCGGCGUGCCUAAUACAUGCAAGUCGAGCGAACGGACGAGAAGCUUGCUUCUCUGAUGUUAGCGGCGGAUGGGUGAGUAACACGUGGAUAACCUACCUAUAAGACUGGGAUAACUUCGGGAAACCGGAGCUAAUACCGGAUAAUAUUUUGAACCGCAUGGUUCAAAAGUGAAAGACGGUCUUGCUGUCACUUAUAGAUGGAUCCGCGCUGCAUUAGCUAGUUGGUAAGGUAACGGCUUACCAAGGCAACGAUGCAUAGCCGACCUGAGAGGGUGAUCGGCCACACUGGAACUGAGACACGGUCCAGACUCCUACGGGAGGCAGCAGUAGGGAAUCUUCCGCAAUGGGCGAAAGCCUGACGGAGCAACGCCGCGUGAGUGAUGAAGGUCUUCGGAUCGUAAAACUCUGUUAUUAGGGAAGAACAUAUGUGUAAGUAACUGUGCACAUCUUGACGGUACCUAAUCAGAAAGCCACGGCUAACUACGUG